UCAUCGUUUGCAUUGUGAUAGAAAGCUUUUGAAAGGGGUUUCUCAAUAUAAAUCGUCAACCUUCAUUACCACGUGUGUACCGGCCACGCGGAUGGCCAGCCUUAGCCUAGUGUUAACUAAACGUAGUCGUUGAGAUUUUAAAUUAGCGUUUGCUAUUUACGUACUGUAACGUUGUGGUUUAAAUUGUUGAAGGUUUGAUGUGUUUUUCAUAUGAGUCAACUUUGUUUUGCCGUCUUUUCUAACCUAGGUAUAAUCGUUAGUACUGAUUGCUAUUCCGCUAUGACUGACUUUAGCAGCUGACUCAUUGCAAUGUUUAACACUACUUGGGGUGUAAAGUGACCAUGCAAAUACUAAAUACAACAGUUAAUGUGAUCUAGGGGCUGCUACCCAUGCAUCUUUAUGAUGAAAAUUAUGUUGGUAGGGACAUCUGAUUAAAAUUGAUGAAUGCCAACUUUUCUGACUAGCGUGGGCCUCAAUAGCUACUAGCGUGCUUCAAUAGCUGUCUAAAACCGUUAGCUUUUGGCUAACGACCUGAUCUGUCUCUCUUUCCCUUACAGAGUCCAAACGAUACAUCGGCCUGAUUGACUAGACUGCUGCCUGGCUACAAUUCGUCAUGGAUCAUCCACAUACAGGUGAAGCCUCUGCAUCUUUUGUCCCACUGGUGCUGAUUAGGGGAAUAAUGCUUACCUUGAAUGGUUGAGCACUUGCAACAUUGCAGCUCAUCUGAACCAGUGGUGCAGGCUCAAUGUCUACAUUUGGAUGCUUGUGGCAGAUCCCUUGCUGAAUCCAUGUUAAUGGCCUUGGUGAAGGACCUCAUGGAAUGGCGAGAGGGUGUGGGGCAUGUCUACCCUGAGUUGCAUGACUAGAACCACAGGCCUUGGUGAAGGACUUAUUGGAAUGGCGAGGGGGGGCCCCCAUGUCUGCCCUGAGUUGCAUGGAACCACAGCCCAGCCAUGUUCCUGUACCAUCUGCCCGUAAGGGCAUCGAAGACUGAGUUAGCCCAGCUUGUGUUCUGAGAGGGUGCCGCCUAAAACCUUGUGUCCAGUUGUCGACCUUGUUGGAUUUUGCAGUAUCCUAGUGACUGCAGAAGACUAAACCAACUGAAGGUCUGGCUACGUUACCUUGACAAUGGUUCUCCAUCUUGCUACAGUAUCCUGGAGGCUUCAGAAGAUGGGCCAACUGAAGGUGUGACCUCCAUGCAAAUCGAUGGCUGAGGAGGAUUAAGCGGGGCGGCGUUGGCAAAGGAGGUAGUCGUCCAGCAACUGGAACGCCAGUUGGAGCCCAACUCUUCCUGACCCUUUUCAAAGUCCUUGAGCAAGAAUCUUAACCCCAGUGUUCCUGAUGAGCAGUUAGGCACUUUGCAUGGCAGCCAAUGGUGAUUGAGGCAUGAUGUAAAGCAGAGUGCUUGCAGGAGCUGAAAAAAGCAACAUAAAUGCUGUAUUUGCCAUUUGGUGCAUGAGUUUCAAACGUGUUCAAAUAUUUUUCUGAAUAAAAGCUUUUGAACUCA
Sardina pilchardus (European sardine) is the source of this 1507-nucleotide long non-coding RNA. RefSeq lists it as uncharacterized. Lineage: Eukaryota; Metazoa; Chordata; Actinopteri; Clupeiformes; Clupeidae. The transcript has 12 exons. The record is from RefSeq and is a predicted model, not a curated record.